Long non-coding RNA from Manis pentadactyla (Chinese pangolin), 532 nucleotides. RefSeq lists it as uncharacterized. The record is from RefSeq and is a predicted model, not a curated record. NCBI's taxonomy places the organism in Eukaryota, Metazoa, Chordata, Mammalia, Pholidota, Manidae. The transcript is spliced from 2 exons.
UUAGAUGGUCAAGCUAAAUGUGCUUCACUGAAUGAUUGUAACUUUUUGAAAGAUGGUGAAGGGCUAGACAGUAUUUGGGUGGGGAGAAUUAUUCUUUGACUUACCUGGUUGACUACUGGUUCUAGGAGGACCAGUAUGACCAUUUGGAUGCCGGUGACAUGACAAAAGUGGAAAAAAGCACGAAUGAGGCCAUGGAGUGAAUGAAUAACAAGCUGAAUCUGCAGAAAAAGCAGAGCCUGACCGUGGAGCCAGUUGUCAAGGGAAGAGAUACAGAAGCUAAAAUUAAGGAGCUGACAAAUAUCUGUAGCCCUAUAAUUUCAAAGCCAAAACCCAAAGAGGAACCUCCAAAAGAGGAGUAAAAAAAUGCAGAGCAGAAUGGACCCGUGGAUGGACAGGGAGACAGCCCGGGCCCUCGGGCUGCGGAGCAGGAUGCAGACGCAGCUGUGCCUUCAGAUCCAGACAAGAAGCUUCCUGAGAUGGACAUUGAUUGAUUCCAGCUAUUGUUUAUAUUAAAACAGACUAUUAUAAAGCU